ACUUUUAAAGGAUAGAAGAAAUCCGUUGGCCUUAGGAGCCAAAAAAU
This 47-nucleotide transfer RNA is filed under the name Hapalemur occidentalis (Sambirano bamboo lemur). RNAcentral's name for it is "tRNA-Leu". Lineage: Eukaryota; Metazoa; Chordata; Mammalia; Primates; Lemuridae. The record is from RNAcentral.